UUUUGGGCGGCAAUUGUAUUUCCUUCUUCAUACAUACGCUUUCUUCAAUUUGGCAAGUAAUCAAUUCUCUCAAUCAAUUGAAAUCAUUCUCCAGGAAAAUUGAUUUCUCUUUACAAACAUCACACAUUUUGCUCUAGCUAUCAUCGUUCACCCACAUUCAAUUUUACAAACCCUAAUUAUCAUAUAGGUGAGUUGAUUCUCUGGCGAUUUCAUACAUCUGCGGUUUUAUUUGAAACACUCAAUCUCUAGCAGGGUGAUUCUCAUCAAAGUGAUUAUUGGAAGCCCUAAAUUGUAACCAGUGGAAUUGAAUCCAGCCGUCCAUUGAGAAACCCUAAAAUCUUCAGAAAAGUUUGAAGCUUGAGAGAUAGAGACAAUGGAAACAAGUGGUGGUUGGAGCCAUCCAUCCAUGUUUUAUCAUCUUUCCAUCAGUCAACAAAUGGUACAUAAUACUCAAGAGUAUAUUCUCUCCGAUUGUUUGGUGUGGAUUUCUCCCAAUUAGAGAAAAUGGAUGAGAGUUUUGGAUCAAGAGCAAUAGAGACUUUUAAGCUUUUUGGUGUAUGGGGGACUCAAACAAUGGGAUCGAAUGGCAGAGUAGAGAAGUCUAUGUUGGAUGGAUUAUCAAGACAAGGGUCAUUGUAUAACCUAACAUUGGAUGAAGCUCAACAGCAGUUAGGGGAUUUAGGGAAGCGUUUUAGUAGUAUGAAUCUAGAUGAGCUUUUGAAGAGUGCUUAUAGUGCUUAAACUAAUCAAGAGGCGAGUAGUAACACGGUUGAUUAUACAGAGCUCACGCAGCUUGAUUCGGGUGUGACGAAGAAGAGAAUCUUGAACAGCAGUAAACGCAGUGGAUAAACUAUCAAAGUCCUGCAAUUCAGCAGCAGAAUGUGAUUAUGGCGGGUCAUUAUCAAGUUUAGCAAUCAGUUCCAGGUACCUCUUUAGGGGGUGUGGGUUAUUUUAAAGAUAUUGUUAGAGGGUUGCAUGCUCAAACUGAUAAAAGAUAAUAUGCAUUUGAGGAAAAACAUUAU
Long non-coding RNA from Helianthus annuus (common sunflower), 1022 nucleotides. RefSeq lists it as uncharacterized. The transcript has 4 exons. The record is from RefSeq and is a predicted model, not a curated record. Lineage: Eukaryota; Viridiplantae; Streptophyta; Magnoliopsida; Asterales; Asteraceae.